This 408-nucleotide ribosomal RNA is filed under the name uncultured bacterium. RNAcentral describes it as "bacterial SSU rRNA". It matches the Rfam family "Bacterial small subunit ribosomal RNA", at positions 355 to 776 of the family's 1533-position model. The record is from RNAcentral.
UGAGGAAUUUUCCGCAAUGGGCGAAAGCCUGACGGAGCGACGCCGCGUGGAGGAUGACGUUCUUCGGAAUGUAAACUCCUUUCGACCGGAACGAAACAAAUGACGGUACCGGGAGAAGAAGCAUCGGCUAACUACGUGCCAGCAGCCGCGGUAAGACGUAGGAUGCGAGCGUUGUUCGGAAUUACUGGGCGUAAAGCGUGCGUAGGCGGUUUGAUAAGUCAGUGUUGAAAGCCCGGGGCUCAACCUCGGAGACGGCACUGAGACUGUCAGGCUUGGAGGACGGCAGAGGAAGGUGGAAUUCCCAGUGUAGCGGUGAAAUGCGUAGAUAUUGGGAGGAACACCAGUGGCGAAAGCGACCUUCUGGGCUAGUCCUGACGCUGAGGCACGAAAGCGUGGGGAGCAAACGGG